GAGUGAGUGCAUCUUUCCUUCACACAAUGAGAAACCGCCGGCCCUGAGGAAGCUGUGAAGAUCACACCGGAGAUCCUGAAGAAGAUGAACUGGGAUGAUCUGUCAGAGAAGAAAAAGAGAGAGUGGUUUCCAGAGAACUAUGAUCAGGAGGACAAUGGAACAUACCGUGGUUUCCAGAGAACUAUGAUCAGGAGGACAAUGGAACAUACCGG
Salvelinus sp. IW2-2015 is the source of this 212-nucleotide non-coding RNA. The record is from RefSeq and is a predicted model, not a curated record. Lineage: Eukaryota; Metazoa; Chordata; Actinopteri; Salmoniformes; Salmonidae.